Long non-coding RNA from Homarus americanus (American lobster), 2094 nucleotides. RefSeq lists it as uncharacterized. The transcript is spliced from 2 exons. NCBI's taxonomy places the organism in Eukaryota, Metazoa, Arthropoda, Malacostraca, Decapoda, Nephropidae. The record is from RefSeq and is a predicted model, not a curated record.
UUUAACCCAAAGUUGAUUGUAAAUACAUAAUGCCGCUCAGUCUCAUAUUUUCUCUCUUAAUUAUAUUAAUAACUUUAAGCUUUGCAUAAAUCAUUGUUUAUCAAUUUUGAUACCUUACAAAUACUACUUUCUUUUUUACUUUUUCUACUUGUGUGUUUCACUUCAAUUAAUUUAACUUUUGUUUUGUUUUUAAGUAGUUUUGAAGAAAGCUACUUUAUACAAAUUUUAAUUUGUACAAAGCAACAGUGUAGUACUGUACUUUAUUUUAAGUAAUACUUCCAGGUACUUUCUCCAUCACUGUUUAAAGUGGAUCUGAAUUGAGCUGGACCUGAUGUGAACUAGACUAAAGUGGGCUGGACGUGCAAGUGAAGGAGAUCUGAAGUUAACUGGACCUAAAGGACUAGAUAGUAAUUAAUUACUAUUUUCUGGUACUUUGAAUAUUAGGAUGGUUCUACAGGCAUUCCCCAGUUUAUAAGAGAGUUCUGUUCCUGAAAAACCUUUAGUAAAUCAGAUAAAUUUUCCCAUAGACUUCCAUUAUAAAAGCCGAGAUACUUUUCUAUAAUGAAAAUACUAACCCAAAAUGUCUUAACCCUUAAGCCCCGGGUGACGUUCCAGAACGUCUGCCUAUUUUCCCAUGACACAGAAGUGAGAGUUAACACUGUGGUGUAAAUAACUUUACUAAAGUGAGGAUAUUACUUCAAUAAUUAUGUAAGAGAUAAAAUCACAAAGUAACUUCAUGAAAUUACCGUUUACUGUAUCUUAAAGUAUAGUUAAGUCAUAAUGAUCAAAUUUUUAUGUAAAAAAUUGGGGUCAAACUAUACAUGCAUAAUAUUUUUGAGGGGUUACAAUUUAUGCAUUUCCAUGGGUCAUUUACAGUGAAUGAUAGUACCUGGUGCAGUACGCGCUUAUGGUAGGUUAACCUUACCAGUAAGCUCCUUUAUCCUGGGCUUGCCUACCGACCCCAAGAUCCUAUGUGGCUACAGGAAGAGCAGAACCUUUCACUAUACAGUAUAUGCUGGUUUAAAUAUACAAAUGCCUGAUAGAAUUGGUUUAGAUAUUUUUCUUUGCAUCUGUUUAAAUUACUGGGAGAUUAUCAACUUUCCCCACCUGUGAGCUGUAUGCUAUGUUAUGGUCAGAGUGAGGGAAGAUUGGACUAAAGUUAAUUGAGAGGGAAGACUGCUGGAGACAUAAUUGAAGAGUAUUACAGUGAGGGUGGGAAGGCUGGUGAUAUGAAUUAAAACUAUUCUCAAGUAAUGUAUAUGUGGGAGAAACUUGACUAGAACAUAAGACUUUACUGUACUGUAGCAGAAGAAGAGUGAGGAAACACCUUAGGAUAGACUGAAGUUUUAUACAAGCAAAGGAAGGAUAUGUGCCACUUAAUCUGCACUGGAUUAUUUUUUUAAUUUCUUCCACAUCCUAGGUUUAGGUUUCACUUCUUCAGAACUCAACCAUAAAGAGAGUCACCUAUCAACUGGAAUCAACUGAAUCUGACCAUCUUUCCCCGACCUUUAGGACGGGGUCAGAAGUCUAUUCUGGGAAGGAUGUUUUUGGACCAGCAUGCUUGUUUGUCCAGUGGUUCCAGGAGUCAGGAUCCUCUUGAGGGAGAAACCUGGCCCUCAGACUUGGCAUCAGCCAGGUUCAGGUUGGAGGGAGGCAUAAGGUCGAGCAUGACAACCAUUACUGGUGUUGGCUGGGCAGAAGCCGUCACUUGUGCACCAAGAUGUCUUCACGUUUUAGCUCUCUGGUCUGUAGUCUCAAAUGUAAAGUAUGUUGAAUAUUUCUCCUAAGUUAAGAUGCAAGGUUGUAUCUGAUUGUGUGAUUCAAGGUGAUGGAAUCUCAAAGGUAUGUUGAAUAUUUCUUAUAAAUUAAGAUGUAAAAAUGUAUCUGAUUGGUGACAUAAGAUACAACAUUGGUCAAGGAUGAGUUGUCCUAAUUUAUUUAGUAUGGAUCAGGAAGCUGAUUCUAGGACUGUAGUUAGCCUGAUUAAAACUCGGGCCUUCGUUGAUGAGCAGCAGCAAUUUGACAGUAAUUACAUAAGAUCAUCGGAAUCGUCUUAGUGAUGUGCAAACCAAUAAAGGAUUUUUUAAUGCUAGA